AUGGGGGGUGGUUCCGAAGAUUACGUCGAUGUUACGGGCAUAAGUGCUAACUUCGCUGGAGCGGACGCAGCUAUUGCCACGUGUACUCGGCCAUGGAGAAGCAGUCUUCGUGCGAUGCAUCCAGAGAAAAUAAAGGCGUACGUGACGCCGGAAGUCCACGAAGAAACAACAGACACAAGUGCUACGACCGUUGUUGGUGUUGAUGCAAAGCUGGACAAAUAUACAGUGAACACUGACGCAUCGGAAGAGGCUGGUGCAUCAUCGACCUGUGCGGCUAGCUUGAGACACGCUGGAGAGUGUUCUGAAAAUAGGACCAGCUCGAUGGUAUCCGGUGGUCAGUACGCAGUAACGACGGCAUGCAGCCCAUCACGCAGCAGGCGUGAAAGCCAUGAAGCAAGUGGGCCUGGUGGUUCACGUGGUGGUGAGCUAGGCUCUUCACCAGGAGGUUUUCAACCAGGCAUUAGCAGCAUGCCAUAUGGGUUAAAGCGUGCUGCACGAGGCGUUGCACCUGAGGAGCAGCUGCCAGCCGAGGCUCUGACCUCUGAAGGUGGCAAUGAAGAGCUGGUGAGAGGGAAGCUCAAACAUCAUAGGAAGAACUACCAUGCUAGCACUCCUAGGAAAAGUCCUAGGUUUGAACACAAGCUUGAUUGUCGUAACGGGCCUGUCGAAGAGCUGCCAGCCGAGGCACUGAUUUCUGAAGGUGGCGAUGCGGAGUUGGUGAGAGGGAAGGUGAAACGUCCUAAGAAGAACUACCAUACCGGCACUCCUCGGACAAGUCCUAGGUUUGAACCAAAGCAUGAAUAUCAUAACGGGCCUGUGGAAGAGCUGCCAGCCGAGGCACUGAUCUCUGAAGUUGGCGACGCGGAGCUGGUGAGAGGGAAGCUGAAACAUCCUAGGAAGAACUACCCUGUUGGCACUCCUCGGAGAAGUCCUAGGUUUGAACCGAAGCAUGAAUGUCAUAACGGAUCCGUGGAAGAAAUGCCAGCCGAGGUUCUGACCUCUGAAGGUAGUGAUGCUGAGCUGGUGAGAGGGGAAGUGAAACAUUCUAGGAAGAACUUCCAUACCGGUACUCCUCGGACAAGUCCUAGGUUUGAAACAAAGCAUGGAUGUUGUAACGGGUCUGUGGAAGAGCUGCCAGCUGAGGCUCUGACCUCUGAUGGUGCUGAUGCAGAGCUGGUGAGGGGGAAGGUGAAACAUGCUAGGAAGGAUUACCAUACUGGCACUUCUAGGACAAGUCCUAGGUUUCAACUGAAGCGUGAACGGCGCAAGGGGCCCAUGGAAGAACUGGCAGCCGAUCACAAGAGGUUCCGCACACUAGAAGAAUUAAUUGCCUCUCCUGACAAUGCAGAAUCUGCGAAGACCCCCUCUACCGACUCUCUGAACUAA
Molecule: ribosomal RNA, 1386 nt
Filed under: Triticum aestivum (bread wheat)
Lineage: Eukaryota; Viridiplantae; Streptophyta; Magnoliopsida; Poales; Poaceae
Description: partial small subunit ribosomal RNA
Source: RNAcentral